CAGCAGUAGCCGCGGUAACACCGAGGGUGCGAGCGUUAAUCGGAUUUACUGGGCGUAAAGCGUGCGUAGGCGGCUUCUUAAGUCGGAUGUGAAAUCCCUGAGCUUAACUUAGGAAUUGCAUUCGAUACUGGGAAGCUAGAGUAUGGGAGAGGAUGGUAGAAUUCCAGGUGUAGCGGUGAAAUGCGUAGAGAUCUGGAGGAAUACCGAUGGCGAAGGCAGCCAUCUGGCCUAAUACUGACGCUGAGGUACGAAAGCAUGGGGAGCAAACAGGAUUAGAUACCCCAGUAGUCCCUGUCUCUUAUAC
This 304-nucleotide ribosomal RNA is filed under the name uncultured bacterium. RNAcentral describes it as "partial 16S ribosomal RNA". It matches the Rfam family "Bacterial small subunit ribosomal RNA", at positions 506 to 807 of the family's 1533-position model. The record is from RNAcentral.